RNAcentral lists this ribosomal RNA (512 nucleotides) under Neophaeomoniella zymoides. RNAcentral's name for it is "partial 28S large subunit ribosomal RNA". It matches the Rfam family "Eukaryotic large subunit ribosomal RNA", at positions 86 to 606 of the family's 3401-position model. Lineage: Eukaryota; Fungi; Ascomycota; Eurotiomycetes; Phaeomoniellales; Phaeomoniellaceae. The record is from RNAcentral.
ACGGCGAGUGAAGCGGUAAUAGCUCAAAUUUGAAAUCUGGCUCUAGGGUCCGAGUUGUAAUUUGUAGAGGAUGUUUCGGGUGCGCCCGCAGUUUAAGUUCCUUGGAACAGGACGUCAUAGAGGGUGAGAAUCCCGUCUUGAACUGUACGGCAAGUCCAUGUGAAACUCCUUCGACGAGUCGAGUUGUUUGGGAAUGCAGCUCAAAAUGGGAGGUAAAUUUCUUCUAAAGCUAAAUAUUGGCCAGAGACCGAUAGCGCACAAGUAGAGUGAUCGAAAGAUGAAAAGCACUUUGAAAAGAGAGUUAAACAGUAUGUGAAAUUGUUAAAAGGGAAGCGUUUGCAACCAGACUUGUUUCUAACAGUUCUACCGCAGUUCUCUGUGGCUUAUUCUGUUAGUCCAGGCCAGCAUCAGUUUGGGUGGCUCGUUAAAGACUUUGGGAAUGUAUCUACUCCUUCGGGUGUAGACUUAUAGCCCAUUGUGUAAUAGGGUCUACCUGGACUGAGGUACGCGCA